CUAGCCGUAAACGAUGGAUACUAGGCGUUGAGAGGAUCGACCCUCGCAGUGCCGUAGCUAACGCGUUAAGUAUCCCGCCUGGGGAGUACGCGCGCAAGCGUGAAACUCAAAGGAAUUGACGGGGGCCCGCACAAGCGGUGGAGUAUGUGGUUUAAUUCGAUGCAACGCGAAGAACCUUACCAGGGCUUGACAUGUCCGGAACCCUGUUCCCAAAGGUGGGGGUGCCUACGGGAGCCGGAACACAGGUGGUGC
RNAcentral lists this ribosomal RNA (252 nucleotides) under uncultured Chroococcidiopsis sp. RNAcentral describes it as "partial 16S ribosomal RNA". It matches the Rfam family "Bacterial small subunit ribosomal RNA", at positions 796 to 1044 of the family's 1533-position model. The record is from RNAcentral. Lineage: Bacteria; Bacillati; Cyanobacteriota; Cyanophyceae; Chroococcidiopsidales; Chroococcidiopsidaceae.